AUUUCGUCUUGCGAAGAAGACAUCCACUUCCCAAAUCUAAAUUAUCGUAUAUGGUUAAAUAAUGAAAAGAUCUGCACUGAAUUAUCAAUUUUAAAAAAAUAGCAUUGAUGAGAAGAUGAACAAAACCUCAAAUUUUAAGACGUUCUCAUACUAUAAAGUUUGAGCAAGCAAUGCAGCAAAUAGAGAUGCAGCCAGAUCCAAUAACAUUAAAAUAGACGUCCUAGUAGGAUUAGCAACUUCUUAAAGAAAUGAGCGAUAUAAAAAAAAUAAAAACUUGUACGAGAGGGACGACAAAUUAAAUGAUAGCACUCCUCAAUCAAUGUUUGUAUGAACUUACAUGUAUGAGAAGAACCUGAUUUACUUGAUAAACACAAAGAAAAAUUGAUUCAAAAUUAAACUUGUAAUAGGCCGAACUAGGGGGAAGGAGUGUCUUGAAGAGAAGGAAAAGACUGUGAUGCUGGAGACGCCCUCUGGGGGAUAAUAGGAUGAGCAACUCGCAAAGACGUUGGUGAUGGAUGCAAGCUCGAUUUGUUUGUAGAAUUCGAGACAUGACGGGUUGAUGGAUCGCUACGGUACCGGAAAUGAGAUGCAGCACUAUACAUUUGAGAAGGAGGAGUAGAAUGUGUAUGAAUUUUUGAAUGAAAUCGGGAAUCAUCAGAAAAGAGAGUUGUUCUAACAUUAUGAUGAGAAAGUUCAUUUGAUUGAAGAUCAACUGAUGGAAAGGGGUCAUUUAAAUGCAGAGAAGGCCUACCAUAACUAUCAGAGGCCAUACGUUGUGGUGAAGAAUCAACAGAACUGGUAUAAUUCAAUGGUGGUGUAUGACGGACAAGAUCUAAAGAGUUUGAGCUUUCCUGUUGACUCAAAAUAGAUGCAUCGAUCGCUUCUUGCACCAAGCCAAGACACAAUUCGGCAAGGCUUCGGCAUAACGCAUCCACCACACUCGAUGGAGAGGUGUUUACCAAGGUGAUUGCAUGGUUUACAGCUUGCUCUACGGGCUUUAAAAUGAUGGGCGAAGGAUGAUAAGUGCGAAGCCGCAUAAGAGCCGUUUGCAUCGUGCUUAGCGGCGCCGGUGAGUGAGGUGAAUGAGUAGAGGGUAAAAGAGAAGGGUAACUGUUAGGAGAACGAUAUGGACUAAGAUUGUUAUGAUAGCCUAAGUAGGAAGAGGGUC
Schizosaccharomyces pombe (fission yeast) is the source of this 1168-nucleotide non-coding RNA. The record is from the annotation of a GenBank genome assembly. Lineage: Eukaryota; Fungi; Ascomycota; Schizosaccharomycetes; Schizosaccharomycetales; Schizosaccharomycetaceae.